GACGAACGCUGGCGGCGUGCCUAAUACAUGCAAGUAGAACGCUGAAGAGAGGAGCUUGCUCUUCUUGGAUGAGUUGCGAACGGGUGAGUAACGCGUAGGUAACCUGCCUUGUAGCGGGGGAUAACUAUUGGAAACGAUAGCUAAUACCGCAUAACAAUGGAUGACACAUGUCAUUUAUUUGAAAGGGGCAAUUGCUCCACUACAAGAUGGACCUGCGUUGUAUUAGCUAGUAGGUGAGGUAAUGGCUCACCUAGGCGACGAUACAUAGCCGACCUGAGAGGGUGAUCGGCCACACUGGGACUGAGACACGGCCCAGACUCCUACGGGAGGCAGCAGUAGGGAAUCUUCGGCAAUGGGGGCAACCCUGACCGAGCAACGCCGCGUGAGUGUAGAAGGUUUUCGGAUCGUAAAGCUCUGUUGUAAGUCAAGAACGGGUGUGAGAGUGGAAAGUUCACACUGUGACGGUAGCUUACCAGAAAGGGACGGCUAACUACGUG
RNAcentral lists this ribosomal RNA (497 nucleotides) under uncultured bacterium. RNAcentral describes it as "partial 16S ribosomal RNA". It matches the Rfam family "Bacterial small subunit ribosomal RNA", at positions 28 to 507 of the family's 1533-position model. The record is from RNAcentral.